This 241-nucleotide long non-coding RNA is filed under the name Populus tremula. RNAcentral's name for it is "long non-coding RNA (PTRE_LNC000163)". The record is from RNAcentral. Lineage: Eukaryota; Viridiplantae; Streptophyta; Magnoliopsida; Malpighiales; Salicaceae.
GCCUCUCUCAUCAGCUAGGUAUACAGAAUAAUGUGUGCACACAGGCUAACUACUCUCCGUUAGCAUGGAGUUACUGACAAGUCCCAUAUCAAGGCAUAAUAGAUAUUCAUAGAAUCAUCAAAGAAACGUAUAUUACAAUAAAUGAGUACUCGGAAAAUAAAGCAACAUAUAUAAAUAUUCAAGAGUUGUACUCAUUGUAUAAUCAACAUACAUAUUUAUUUAUAUUAUAUGUAUAUUAAAG